Molecule: ribosomal RNA, 228 nt
Filed under: uncultured Bacteroides sp.
Lineage: Bacteria; Pseudomonadati; Bacteroidota; Bacteroidia; Bacteroidales; Bacteroidaceae
Description: partial 16S ribosomal RNA
Rfam family: Bacterial small subunit ribosomal RNA
Source: RNAcentral
CUGAACCAGCCAAGUAGCGUGAAGGAUGAAUGUCCUACGGCAUUGUAAACUUCUUUUAUACGGGAAUAAAGUAUCCUACGUGUAGGAUUUUGUAUGUACCGUAUGAAUAAGCAUCGGCUAACUCCGUGCCAGCAGCCGCGGUAAUACGGAGGAUGCGAGCGUUAUCCGGAUUUAUUGGGUUUAAAGGGAGCGCAGACGGGAGAUUAAGUCAGUUGUGAAAGUUUGCGG